Molecule: long non-coding RNA, 2409 nt
Filed under: Homo sapiens (human)
Lineage: Eukaryota; Metazoa; Chordata; Mammalia; Primates; Hominidae
Description: non-protein coding lnc-AK6-10:1
Source: RNAcentral
CGUCCAGUGCUUUUCCUGUGGAGGGUGUUUAGAGAAAUGGCAGGAAGGUGAUGACCCAUUAGACGAUCACACCAGAUGUUUUCCCAAUUGUCCAUUUCUCCAAAAUAUGAAGUCCUCUGCGGAAGUGACUCCAGACCUUCAGAGCCGUGGUGAACUUUGUGAAUUACUGGAAACCACAAGUGAAAGCAAUCUUGAAGAUUCAAUAGCAGUUGGUCCUAUAGUGCCAGAAAUGGCACAGGGUGAAGCCCAGUGGUUUCAAGAGGCAAAGAAUCUGAAUGAGCAGCUGAGAGCAGCUUAUACCAGCGCCAGUUUCCGCCACAUGUCUUUGCUUGAUAUCUCUUCCGAUCUGGCCACGGACCACUUGCUGGGCUGUGAUCUGUCUAUUGCUUCAAAACACAUCAGCAAACCUGUGCAAGAACCUCUGGUGCUGCCUGAGGUCUUUGGCAACUUGAACUCUGUCAUGUGUGUGGAGGGUGAAGCUGGAAGUGGAAAGACGGUCCUCCUGAAGAAAAUAGCUUUUCUGUGGGCAUCUGGAUGCUGUCCCCUGUUAAACAGGUUCCAGCUGGUUUUCUACCUCUCCCUUAGUUCCACCAGACCAGACGAGGGGCUGGCCAGUAUCAUCUGUGACCAGCUCCUAGAGAAAGAAGGAUCUGUUACUGAAAUGUGCAUGAGGAACAUUAUCCAGCAGUUAAAGAAUCAGGUCUUAUUCCUUUUAGAUGACUACAAAGAAAUAUGUUCAAUCCCUCAAGUCAUAGGAAAACUGAUUCAAAAAAACCACUUAUCCCGGACCUGCCUAUUGAUUGCUGUCCGUACAAACAGGGCCAGGGACAUCCGCCGAUACCUAGAGACCAUUCUAGAGAUCAAAGCAUUUCCCUUUUAUAAUACUGUCUGUAUAUUACGGAAGCUCUUUUCACAUAAUAUGACUCGUCUGCGAAAGUUUAUGGUUUACUUUGGAAAGAACCAAAGUUUGCAGAAGAUACAGAAAACUCCUCUCUUUGUGGCGGCGAUCUGUGCUCAUUGGUUUCAGUAUCCUUUUGACCCAUCCUUUGAUGAUGUGGCUGUUUUCAAGUCCUAUAUGGAACGCCUUUCCUUAAGGAACAAAGCGACAGCUGAAAUUCUCAAAGCAACUGUGUCCUCCUGUGGUGAGCUGGCCUUGAAAGGGUUUUUUUCAUGUUGCUUUGAGUUUAAUGAUGAUGAUCUCGCAGAAGCAGGGGUUGAUGAAGAUGAAGAUCUAACCAUGUGCUUGAUGAGCAAAUUUACAGCCCAGAGACUAAGACCAUUCUACCGGUUUUUAAGUCCUGCCUUCCAAGAAUUUCUUGCGGGGAUGAGGCUGAUUGAACUCCUGGAUUCAGAUAGGCAGGAACAUCAAGAUUUGGGACUGUAUCAUUUGAAACAAAUCAACUCACCCAUGAUGACUGUAAGCGCCUACAACAAUUUUUUGAACUAUGUCUCCAGCCUCCCUUCAACAAAAGCAGGGCCCAAAAUUGUGUCUCAUUUGCUCCAUUUAGUGGAUAACAAAGAGUCAUUGGAGAAUAUAUCUGAAAAUGAUGACUACUUAAAGCACCAGCCAGAAAUUUCACUGCAGAUGCAGUUACUUAGGGGAUUGUGGCAAAUUUGUCCACAAGCUUACUUUUCAAUGGUUUCAGAACAUUUACUGGUUCUUGCCCUGAAAACUGCUUAUCAAAGCAACACUGUUGCUGCGUGUUCUCCAUUUGUUUUGCAAUUCCUUCAAGGGAGAACACUGACUUUGGGUGCGCUUAACUUACAGUACUUUUUCGACCACCCAGAAAGCUUGUCAUUGUUGAGGAGCAUCCACUUCCCAAUACGAGGAAAUAAGACAUCACCCAGAGCACAUUUUUCAGUUCUGGAAACAUGUUUUGACAAAUCACAGGUGCCAACUAUAGAUCAGGACUAUGCUUCUGCCUUUGAACCUAUGAAUGAAUGGGAGCGAAAUUUAGCUGAAAAAGAGGAUAAUGUAAAGAGCUAUAUGGAUAUGCAGCGCAGGGCAUCACCAGACCUUAGUACUGGCUAUUGGAAACUUUCUCCAAAGCAGUACAAGAUUCCCUGUCUAGAAGUCGAUGUGAAUGAUAUUGAUGUUGUAGGCCAGGAUAUGCUUGAGAUUCUAAUGACAGUUUUCUCAGCUUCACAGCGCAUCGAACUCCAUUUAAACCACAGCAGAGGCUUUAUAGAAAGCAUCCGCCCAGCUCUUGAGCUGUCUAAGGCCUCUGUCACCAAGUGCUCCAUAAGCAAGUUGGAACUCAGCGCAGCCGAACAGGAACUGCUUCUCACCCUGCCUUCCCUGGAAUCUCUUGAAGUCUCAGGGACAAUCCAGUCACAAGGUAUACCUGUAUAUAUUUUGGAUGACUAUUCUGAUGUAUAAUUUCUUUUUCUUACUUUAAGUGGUUGAAA